CUCGCUGUGGCCGACCCAACCCGGACGCACAUCCCGGCUCCCCCGCCCGGAAGCGCCGUCAGGACCGGGGGCGCCGCUUGGGGAGGCGCGCGCCCGCCCCCCCCCCGCCCGCUCGCUGCCUCCGCCCCCGCGGAGCCCCGGCUGGGGCGGCCAGGGCAGGCGGCUCGGCCCGGGACUGGAGGGGUGGGGGCUGCCCGGGAGUCCCUCCCGUGGGGCUCGGUGUGGGGCCCCGGGGCGAGGGAGGGGUGGCGGGUGGGAUCUGCCCGCCUGGAUGUGAGAGGUUUUCGUGAGGGACGAUGCGGCCGAGGCUGAUCUUCCCGGCCCCCAGGGGCGUUCAGCCCUGCCUCGCUCCCUACCCGGCGGAUUCUUCCUCGACUCAUCUCCCACGGAAGGCAAGACUGCGCGACCGUCCGCGGGCGUCCCCCAGCCUGCGGCCGAAGGUACCAGGAUGCACUAAGGAAUUCAGCAGUGAAACUUCUCAACAAACUGGAUAACCCAAGCCCCAUGAGACACUUAUCAUAAUGCUGACUUUUGAGCAUCUAGAUCACGUUCUGUGAUUAUCAGGUACAAACAGUGUGUCAUAAAAUGACAAAGUAGCAUUUCUAAAUACAGUUAUUUCUGUUAACUCUAUAGAGACUGAUUAAAAAAUCAAAAUAAUUGAUCUGUGUGCUCUAUGGUUUUUCAGUAAUAAAAAUGCAGAGAAAAAUGGAAGUAUUUGAGGAAAACAUCAGGAUUGAAACACUGAAUAUUAGAUAAUUUGGUUAUAUGUAUUGAAGAAUCGUGUGUUGCCUUAGUAUUUGCUAUAGCUUACUUCAUCUGGAAAUGAAUUUGCCCAAAGAAAAUGCUGAAAGUGUUUAACGUUGUGUAUAUUCAGAGUUACUGAUAAAUCUGUGUUAGCUGAGUUGUUUGUAGUAAUGGACUUGCUUCUCUCUUCCUGCUCUUGCUACUUUAAGUGUGUAUCCAGUGAAUGAAAUGUAAUGGCUGCUGGAGAAAGCGGGAUCUGCCACCAAGCAAGAAGAAAACAAAGAUAUUAAUUGGGUAAUCCCUUGAAAGCAUUUCCCGGUAUCACAGAAAAUGUUUCUUUAACAGUUGACAGCAAAGGUACAAAGAGAUAGCAAAGAAGGGAGGAACUGUAUCAAAAUUAGCAAUAAGGAGCUUGAAAUUAAAUAUUCACUAUGGCAUUAGCACCAUAUUCCCCUGGAGAAGCAGGUUCUGAGUACUGCUUAUCAAUCUUUCAUGUGAUGGAUCUCCAAAUCAAAAUUUCAGUGACCGGGGGCAAAAUGAGGAGCGCUAGAAGUAGAAAUUACCUGGCGAUAAGAAAACAAACCAAACAGUCUUCUGAUUAAAAUUUGCUGCUGAAGGUAGCUGGAGAGAACGGCAUUAAUGAUGAGCAGAAGGCGUAGGCAGUCAGAUUUUUUUAUUAGUAAUUAAUUCCUUUAUUUAAAUUUGGCAGGAUGUACAGACCCUUCUGAAGUAUUUUGGAGAACACAGCGCUUACUGUAGUCAAGCAAACUAUCAGCUUAUUUUUACUUUAUUCUCAGGGAAUGUUGUUGAUUGGAGCAUUACAUCUGAAUUUCUAGAAUUUGGAGUGAUAGAAAUGAGGUUCAAGUUCACAGCAUUACAUCUAGGCACCUGAGUUCAUCUAAAACCAUGCAACAGAGGUGAGAGGAGUUUUGGAUAUACUGCGGACUUAUGGCUGGCCUGGAAAUCAGUGGAGCCGAAGAAUCUGAGUAACCUAGAAAGCUGUUACCUCUAUAUGUACACACAUGCAUACAUAUAUAUAUACGCAUGUGUACCUGACAGUAUAUGUGCAUAUGGGGACUGAAACAUCGUAUGAAAAUGCAUUUUUUUACUUCUCUGUAUUUGUGAAUAAACCUUUUGACAGCAUUUCUGAGAAGAAUUAAGCAGAUAGAAUAGAAACCAGAUACAAGGAAGGUGACAAUAAUCCUGUGAAAUUAAAAAGAUUCCAAUUAACUGGUUUCUUAAAACUGUGAAAUGUCUAAUAGGAAAAAAAAAAAAGUAUCAGCAGCAAUCAUUACUGUGGGGAAAUUAGCUUGCUAUCCAACAGGAUAAAGUCAAAAAAGGUCUAAGAAGGUCAGAAGAAAGCAGGUGAUUCCAUUGCUUUAGUCUUUAGAACUUGUUAUGAAAAUGCAUACAAUUAAUUAAAACAAAGCUACCCAGAGACCUAAGGUGUGAAGAGUUUUUCUUGCUACCCACUGUCGUUGGUAAGUGCUGUUCAGACUUUCUGCAGAGCUGUAUUUUAAUCCUCAUGUGAAAUUAGAGGAAAAUGUUCCUAUGAAGUGCAAAACCUUCCUAAUGAGAAAUUAAUCCCACUCAGGAACUGGAAUUGCCAGAGUACAAUAAAUUACAGUUAAGUGAGGUCAUUCUCAGAGGCAAUUAUGGGUUUUACAAAGAUAGUAAUUGACUUCUUUUCUUCAUAGGUAGAUUGUCAUUCAUCAACAUUUAGUGUCCCCACAUUUUUCAAGUUCUCUUUUGAGUCACUGAAGGCUUUAUAGGAAAUGAUGAUUUGAGAAAUACCUUGUGUGACCUUAUCUAUUUUGUGGCCUAAUCUUGGCAGUCAGUAAGUAAUAUUUACUGGUGUAAUAGCUUUUGAAACUUGCCCUGGCAGGAAUUAGAGAAAAAAAGCCCAUACACAUGCGGAUCCCUGUAGCUAGGUAUGUAAUGUGUUUUCCUGGUUGCCAGAUUUUUAUUAUUUGAUAAUUUUUUUCAGGGACUGGAAUAAUUAAUAACUGUCACAUUAGUAGAAGUGGAAAAAAAUCAGCUUUGUGUACAAUGAGUCAUAUGCGUGCAAACUACUUUUGAAUUAAAGAAGACCUGUAAGAUAUUCGUGAUGCUGUGACCAGCCACUGGUAGAUCAUAUGGCAGACGACUCACAGCUCAUUUUCGGCAGUCUGAGCAGAGGUUGUGUAGUGGUGGUGUCAGAACUGGCCCAUGGAUCCUUGGUGCACAGACUGCUGAAGCCCUGGUGAUGGGGAAAGCUUGCAGCAGGAUCAAUAUAACAGUAAUGAAGAAAAUACCUUCAGGCAAAAAUCAGGGUAAAGUCUCACUGUGAACCCUGGAAAAUUCCAGGCUAGAACAAGCCUCACAAGACAUUGAUGAGUGUGAUCAGGAAGGUGUGGUUUAGACCUAAGGACUAAAAAUCCUGUGGACUUUUCUGUUUCCUUGAGCACUGCCUUCAGAUCAGCAGCCUCUGCACUACUCUGAGGUAGCUGGGACAUCUGGAGAUCUUGCACGAAACUGCUAAAUAGAUGUGGAUAGGCAUAUUGAGGAAAUUAAGAGGAUAAGCUGUCUGGAAGCUAGGACAAAUGGGUAUGAUCUGGUAACUAGAACUGAAGAUUGUUUGAAGGUGGUAUUUUGGGGCAAGGACUAUGAGUAGGCAUGGAGGUUCAGGUUGCUAAGGCUCCUAAUGUGAACUGGAAGUCCAAGGGGGAGUAGGGUUCAGUUGCAGAAGGAGCCUGAGACUUCAAGCUUACACGGCUGCUCCAUCUUUUCUUCUUACAACUUCAUGGCAGGGAUCCAGCAUGAGAAGCGAGGAGACAGGAAUUGUUUGUCUAUUCAUAGCAGCUCCACAUACCUUGAAAACUGGUAAGUGUAUCUAGGAGUUUAACAUUUGAAGGGAAUACUCAGGAUACUGCUAUCCACCUCCGUGUGCUGUGCCUCUCACUCAGUUGCACUGGAACAACUGUUUGUGUGCUCACAAUGUAAAUUGGAUUAUGAACUGAACUAUGUUCAAAAAACCACUGGUUUUUUUCUUAAUUGCAAAUCAGUUCCCUGAUCUGCUUCACAGCAUGGCACAUCAUCACACAGAGAUGUGAGAAAAUGCCUAUGUUAGCAUCACUGCUGAAUUUAUCAUAAUGUGAAACUAUGGUGUGUGAAACCAUGUGAGAUAUGGAAUAUUCUAUAGAACUGAAUUCUGGUAGUCAUAACUUUAAGGACCUUACAAUAAAAUACCUUCUGUAAGACAUACAAGAGAACAGAGAAAGCAGUAUUGUGACAAAAAGUCCUGUUUUUUUUCUCAUUAGAAACAAUGUUAAAUUUGCAAGAUGGGCACCAGAUCACCUACCAGUAUUGUCCCCAUUCGGUAGAAUCAUAGAAUCAUUUAGGUUGGAAAGACCUUUAAGAUCAUCAAGUCCAACUGUUAACCUAGCACUGCCAAAUCCACCACUGAACCACGUCUCUAAGCACCACAUCUACACGUCUAUUAAAUACCUCCAGGGAUGGUGACUCAACCACUUCCUGGGGCAGCCUUUCGGUGAAGAAACUUUUCCUAAUAUCCAGUCUAAACCUUCCCUGGUACAACUUGAGGUAAUUUCCUCUCAUCCUAAUACUUGUUACUUGGGAGAAGAGACCAACCCCCACCUCGCUACAACCUCCUCUCAGGUAGGUUGUAAGGUCUCCCCUGAGCCUCCUUUCCUCCAGGCUAAACAACCCCAGUUUCCUCAGCCACUCAUAAGACUUGUGCUCCAGACCCUUCACCAGAUUCAUUGCCCUUCUCUGGACACGCUCCAGCACCUCAAUGUCUUUCUUGUAGUGAGGGGCCCAAAACUGAAGAGAGUAUCCAAGGUGUGGCCUCACCAGUGCCGAGUACAGGGGCCCGAUCGCUUCCCUGGUCCUGCUGGCCACACCAUUCCUGAUACAAGUCAGGAUGCUGUUGGCCUUCUUGGCCACUUGGGCACACAUGCAAUAUUUUGUGGUGAAGACAGGGGCUCAUUAUUUGAGUAGCAAAUACUGUCCACACAGCUGAUCUCUGCUGACUGCCUUUGCAGACUGUUGCUAAUGUAAUCGCAGAAGAAUUCUCUGUUUGAGCUGGCAGCUGGUAAUGGUGGUGAAUGAUUCCUUCUAAUAAAUGUAGAUUCCAAAUAAUAUCGAUAGAAACCAAAUAAUACAGACUGAUAAACAUCUCAAGGAUGGUAAACAUUCAACAUAUUGCCUGAAAAUUGGCAGCUAAGUAGAUGAAAGAGACCUAGAUACAUGGAUGUGUUCCCCAGAGGCAAGAGAGCAGAAAUCAUCUGUCACUUUUGAUAGCCACUACUUAGCUUAAUCAGUGUCCAGGCUAUGCUCAGCACAUGCACUAUCUCCUGUCAGUGACGAAGAAAAUAGGAACCUAGGAAGCAAAGUGGGGGAGAGUGUUAGGUUAUUGUGUGUAAAAGAGGAUUGUAGGCAUGCUAGGGGAAAGAAAAGAUGAUGAUCCAUAAAAAGACAAAUUGUAUGUGUUCUCCUGAUCAUGGAAUAAGUGCUGUACCUCUAAUGCCAUAGAGAGUUCAGGAAUUAUGCCAGGUCCCAGAUGUUUCAGGGAGAUCUUCUUUAUUCAAUGAUCUGUUCCCACAGCCUAUGUGGGUCACUCUCCAUUCCCAGCUGGAACAAAGCUACUCAGAAAUCCAGACCUCUAGGCCACAGCAGGCACUGCUAGCUUUAUAGCUACACCAAGCUGGAAUUAAUUGUUUUGCAACACCUGUGUGGAGUAACAGGGACGGAAGGGAAUGGAUAAUAUGGUUUGUUACCUUUUCCCUUCUGUUUUUAGUUUAUUUAAAUUCUCAAGUGGACCUAAAAUUCUGGAAAUAGUGUUAUUAGCACCUGUGACAAAUACAAGAUACACUAUCUUGUCAGGUUUGCUCUCCUCAACUUUUGGUCUACUUAUCUACAGUUAUAAUUGCAAUGAAUAAGCCAAAACUGAGAUGAGAACCUGGGCAACCAUGUCACACUUUAAUGAGCUGAAACUGUUUUAGAUAUCAUAUCCCUGGCAAAACCUCAGCCUGAAUAUGAGAGUGUUGCCUCAAAAUGUUCUCCCAGCUGACUGCCAAAGGCUUUUUCUGUAUUAAAUGAGAGCCCCAGCACUUGAUCUACUUUUACAUAAAUUUAAAUCCUGACUUUUUUGUGGCUCAUGUAGUACUGCUGUUAUCAUCCUAGUUUCUGUGUCUGUAGUCCAAAAUAGUUAUAGCUUGUCUGUAUGGUUUAUUUUGUUUUAAAUGUUUCUGGUCAUGAUCCUUACAUUAAAAAAAAAUUCCUUAACUGUUUUUAAAACUUUCAGGAAUUAUUAAAAUAGAAAGAAAUGAAAAAAAAUGUAAAUUAUUAGCAAUUAAUUUAUCCUUUUUUUUUUUCUUUCACUCUUGGCAACAAAAUUAGGUAAGAUAUAUGCAUGGUUAUUGCUGCAGUCUGCGAGGGACUUAGAAGUAACUUUUUAUUAGUAUGGCAAAAGAGAUAAAACUGAUGGAUUUGUAAGAGCUUAGUUUUAUAAACUUUGCUUCAAAUUGAGUAUUUAAUUUGACAACAGUCUCUAAGGACAUUUAAAUACCCUUUUCCUUAAAAUAAUGUAUUGUUCAAAGGUUAGAAUUUUGGGAUUUUGAUGGAGUAAGCCUCAUAAUGCAAAUAAUACCAACCAUGAACUGAUGCUGUGCUUCUUAAGCUACUUCUUCUGCAUUAAGAAACAGCAAUACUUUGCCUCCCAGGGUCAGAAUGUAAGUGUCUUUACAAUAUUAGUCACAGAACUUAUUGCAUAUCAAACCAUUAUUGGUGCAUUUUGAGAUGUCGAUGCCACGACAUCAUUCAGACAUGCAGGUUUGCGCGUGUGUAAUGAAUUGCUUCUCCAAGAGUGUGGCUCCUAGAGUCCACUGCAAUAUUAACGACGAGAAGGAAGAAAGGUAAUUUGCUGCCUUUGUACAAACGUUCUCAGCUAAAAAUGUAUCCAGCAUACAUAAAGCUUUUUCUUUUUAAAUAAAAAAAGCCAGUUUCAGAGAGCUGAAGAAAUCUGAGUAACUCGGCUAUAGUCAGGCUUGUGUAGCGAGCACAGCUGGGCUCCAGACACUGACUCAUUCUCCAAUUACCACUACCCAGCUUUUUUUUCCGACAGGCUCUCUUCGGCCAAUAAAUCUUCCAGCUUUCUAUAAUAUACUGUCAGGCUGAGGUCAUGUCAAUGUAGACAUAAAAACUAAAUCUAUGUUCACACCCAUAAGGAAGAAAAUAAGGCAAGAAAUUUGGAACUAACUAGCACCAAUAAAAGCAAAUAAACAACUGGGAAACAUACAGACAACUUUAGAACUUCUUUGUACAGAUCACAGGGGAAAUACUCUGCAUCUGUGUUAACCAGCCUUCCCUCUCUAAGUCUUCUGUAUUGCUGUUGCAAGCAGGAGAGGAAGGCAAUUUAUAUGAAAGAAAGGCUACCCUUAGUUAAAACCAACAAGACAACAAAAUUUGACUUUGUAAGAUGUUACAGCCAAACUAUAGGGAAAAAACCCCUACCUUUUGGUAAAUAUAAGAAAAUAAACAGUGGUGUCUACCAGCCCCAGCAUUGCUGUCUUAUGUGAAUAAUUAUCGAUUUGAAGGACCAUUUGCAAUGUCUUGCUGCAAAUUGCAGAUAUGUAAUGUGUUGUACAUUCUUGUGACCACAGCGUGUGGGCUUUACUAAGUUUUGGCACAGCCAGAUCUCCCUUUUACUUCAAGUUUACUCCAGAAAACUUGGAUUUCAGUUUAACUGGAAGAUCCUAAGAUCCACUUUUUCCCAAACCAGGUAUCUUAAAAAAAUUUUAGUUGUACGGAUCCAUACAGUAGAUAAAAGUCUAUGGCCUGUCGUACAUAGUCAAUUUAAAUAUAUUUCCUUCUGGCUCUGAAAGUCUAUUAAAAAACAAAGCAGAAAAAAGUAUAUCAUAGAGCAUAUUUUAUUUUUUCUAAUUGUGAGACCAGUCUCUUUCUGUAGGCCACCAGCAAGCACCUUACAGUCAAUCACAAUUUAAAAUAGACAAUUGUCACUGAUGGAAAAUGAUCUGUCAAUCACAAAAACAAUAUAGAAAUUAUACUUUGAAUUUCCAGAGCGAUCUUAUUUUCUAAGGAGUUUUUACAGAUAUCCAAAGAUUCUAGCCAACUGACUUCUUAGUCAGUUUCAUGCAGCAUGGGAAAGAUAAUAUCCCAAAGUUAAAAUAUGGCUGACAAACAGGAUAGGAGAGAGUCCCAACAGCAAAACCAAAUUGAUAUAAAAAUUUGGUCGGUUUUGCAAAAUCUCAGCCAGACAUUUUUUUCAGACUUUUCAAAGAUAAAAAACCUCAGGGAGAAUGAUUUUCUGACAUUUUCUUUGGCUACUACUGAAAACUCAUCUAUAUUCAGGUUGUUACACUUGAACUUUGAAGAGUCUGUCAUGGCAACCUUAAAAAAAAGUUAGUGACUUCAGCUUUAGCUUACUGAGGGGCACGAGUGAAUGCAGAUAUUUUUACACCAGGCUCUGAGGAAAAUGCUCCAUAGAAGCCAUACAAGUAAAACACUAUGAAGAAGGGUAAAUGAAGUGGGAAGUUAUGCUAGUCUUGUGCCUCCAAAGCCAAUAAUCUGUAAGAGAAAAUGUAUUUGUAAUUAUCUAAAAUGUCAUUACCUCCCUCUGCUCCUUUUCAUACAUCGCAUCACCAAAUUUUCAGAAAAGCCCUUUGUCCAAUGUGUUCCUUUGAAUCUCAGUACUGUCAGGAGACUGCGCCAGGAGGUGCAGAUGUGCCACUGUUGCCUACUUGGCCUAUGCCUCCAUUUGGAGGGGCUGGGAGGUGGUAGCUCUGCUCCUCUUCCUGGGACAGUCUGAACACCUUGGGUGGCAAAGCUGAGAUGGAGCCAGAACGAAGAACUGCUGAAUGGGGAGAGCCUAGGGAUGCAGAUAAGCAGUGCAUUGGGUUUGCAUGGCAAGGUUUUGGUGGGGGUGGGCUGCAGGGAUGGCUUCUGUGAGAAGUUGCUAGAAGCUUCCCCCACAUCCAAUAGAGCCAGCGCCAGCCGGACCUGCCACUGGCCAAGGCUGAGCCCAUCAGCAAUGGUGGUAGUGCCUCUAGGAUAACAUAUUUAAGAAGCAGGGGAAACUGCCACAACAGCAGCUGGAGAGAGAACAUGAGAUGGAAACAGCCCUGCAGACACCAAGGUCAGUGAAGCAGGAGGGGGAGGAGGCGCUCAAGGUGCAGGAGCAAAGAUUCCCUUGCAGCCCCUGGUGAAGACCAUGGUGAGGCAGGCUGUGCCCCUGCAGCCCAGGGAGGUCCAUGGUGGAGCACAUAUCCACCUGCAGCCCUUGGAGGACCCCACGCUGGAGCAGGUGGAUGCACCUGAAGGAGGCUGUGACCCUGUAGGAAGCCCAUGCUGGAGCAAGCUCCUGGCAGGCCCUGUGGACCCGUGGAGAGAGGAACCCACGCUGGAGCAGGUUUGCUGGCAGGACUUGUGACCCCAUGGAAGGGACCCACACUGGAGAAGUUCAUGAAGAACUGCAGCCCAUAGGAAGGACUCACGUUGAAGAAAUUUGUGGAGGACUGUCUCCCAUGGGAGGGACCUCACGCUGGAGCAGGGGAAGAGUGUGAGGAGUCCUCCCCUGAGGAUGAAGAAGCAGCAGAGACAACGUGUGAUGAACUGACUGCAACCCCCAUUCCCUGUUCCCCUGUGCUGUUGGCAGGGAGGAGGUAGAGAAUUUGGGAGUGAAGUUGAGCCUGGGAAGAAGGGAGGGGUGGGGGAAAGGUUUUUUAAGAUUGAGUUUUUAUUUCUCAUUACCCUACUCUGAUUUGAUUGGCAAUAAAUUUAAUUAAUUUCUCCAA
Phalacrocorax carbo (great cormorant) is the source of this 9557-nucleotide non-coding RNA. NCBI's taxonomy places the organism in Eukaryota, Metazoa, Chordata, Aves, Suliformes, Phalacrocoracidae. The record is from RefSeq and is a predicted model, not a curated record.